This 1365-nucleotide long non-coding RNA is filed under the name Ananas comosus (pineapple). Its description in RNAcentral is "long non-coding RNA (ACOM_LNC013916)". Lineage: Eukaryota; Viridiplantae; Streptophyta; Magnoliopsida; Poales; Bromeliaceae. The record is from RNAcentral.
UUUUUUUUUUUUUUUUUUUUUUUUUAGAGAGAGAUAGAUAGCAUGCUACCCGCUUCGUUUAUUUCAAUUAGAAAUAAACUUAGCUGGAAAUGUGAAUCAACUAAGAUUCGAACUUGGGACCUCGGAUACGAACCACCAACCCCUUUGCCACUUGCUCUAGGAACGGUUGGUCAAAUAUAAAAGUUAGGCCCCGUUUGGAUACUCUUGAAAACGUAGCAUAAUUAAACUAUGCUACGGCGGUAGGAAAAAUAUGUUAUGAAGCGUUCGGGAAGAAAAAAAGUAACGUAAUUUUUGAAGUAUAGUUAAACUAUACUCCAAAAAAUAGAGUAAAAGUAUAAUCCACUCUAACCAAAGGAAAAGAAUUUCACCAUUCUUGAGCUCCCUUAUUUAAAAAAAUGCAUCAAGUUCUAACUUAACAUAAAAUUUUAAAUUUCAACAUAGAUUUAAAAUUUAAAAUUUAAAAUUUAAAACUUGAAAUUUAAAAUAUCACAUUUGAAAUUUUAAAUUAAAAUUUUAAAUUUUAAAUUUUAAAUUUUAAUUUAAAAUUUCAAACUUUAAAUUUCAAAUUUUAAAUUUCAAAUUUAAAUUUUAAUUUCAAAUUUCAAAUUUCAAAUUUAAAUUUCAAAUUUCAAAUUUUAAACUUUAAAUUUUAAAUUUAUUUUUUUUAAUUUUAAAAUUUUAAAAUUUUAUUUUAAAUAAAAUUUCAAAUAUAAAUUUUAAAUUUUAAAUUUUAAAUUUCAAACUUUAAAUUUUAAAUUUUAACUUUUAAAAUUUAAAAUUUAAAAUUUAAAAUUUAAAUUUUAAAUUUUAAAUUUCAAAUCUCAAGUCUCAUAGUUCAAAUUUCAAAUUUUAAACUUUAAAUUUUAAAUUUAUUUUUUAAACUUUAAAUUUUAAAUUUAUUUUUUAAAUUUAAAAUUCUAAAUUUCAAAUUUCAAAUUUUAAAUUUUAAAUUAAAAAAUUUAAAAAUUUAAAAAUUAAAUUUGGAUUUUUAAAUUUUAAAUUUUAAAUUGUAAAUUUCAAAUUUAAAAAUUUAAAAUUUAAAAUUCAAAAUUCAAAAUUUCACAUUUCACAAAUCAAAUUUUAAAUUUUAUUUUUUUUUUGAAAAUUUAAAUUUUAACUUUUAAUCUUAAAAUUUAGAAAAAUCCUGUGAAAUUGUAAAAUGCGGAUCCAAACAAUUUAAAAAUUGAAUCCGUGGAAUUUUUUAGAGUUGCAGGAUUCUCUAUUUUAUCUAGACCGAAAUCACAAUUUAUAAAUUUCGUGGAGAUAUUUUACUAUGUAUCCAAACAGGCCCUUAAUGUGCGAAAAAUACUAUGCUAGGAAGUUUUUCGAGUUUUUAUUUUGCCACUAUAUAAUUCAAAAAGUCAU